AUUGAACGCUGGCGGCAUGCCUUACACAUGCAAGUCGAACGGCAGCACGGGUGCUUGCACCUGGUGGCGAGUGGCGAACGGGUGAGUAAUACAUCGGAACAUGUCCUGUAGUGGGGGAUAGCCCGGCGAAAGCCGGAUUAAUACCGCAUACGAUCUACGGAUGAAAGCGGGGGACCUUCGGGCCUCGCGCUAUAGGGUUGGCCGAUGGCUGAUUAGCUAGUUGGUGGGGUAAAGGCCUACCAAGGCGACGAUCAGUAGCUGGUCUGAGAGGACGACCAGCCACACUGGGACUGAGACACGGCCCAGACUCCUACGGUAGGCAGCAGUGGGGAAUUUUGGACAAUGGGCGAAAGCCUGAUCCAGCAAUGCCGCGUGUGCGAAGAAGGCCUUCGGGUUGUAAAGCACUUUUGUCCGGAAAGAAAUCCUUGGCCCUAAUACGGUCGGGGGAUGACGGUACCGGAAGAAUAAGCACCGGCUAACUACGUG
Molecule: ribosomal RNA, 486 nt
Filed under: uncultured bacterium
Lineage: Bacteria
Description: partial 16S ribosomal RNA
Rfam family: Bacterial small subunit ribosomal RNA
Source: RNAcentral